This 483-nucleotide ribosomal RNA is filed under the name uncultured bacterium. RNAcentral describes it as "bacterial SSU rRNA". It matches the Rfam family "Bacterial small subunit ribosomal RNA", at positions 10 to 507 of the family's 1533-position model. The record is from RNAcentral.
AGUUUGAUCAGUGGCUACGAGGACGACGCUGGCGGCGUGCUUAACACAUGCAAGUCGAACGGAGUUAAGGAGCUUGCUUCUUAACUUAGUGGCGAACGGGUGAGUAACGCGUGAGGAACCUGCCUUUCAGUGGGGGACAACAGUUGGAAACGACUGCUAAUACCGCAUGACACUAUCGGGCCGCAUGGUCUGGUAGUCAAAGAUUUAUUGCUGAAAGAUGGCCUCGCGUCUGAUUAGCUAGUUGGUGGGGUAACGGCCCACCAAGGCGACGAUCAGUAGCCGGACUGAGAGGUUGACCGGCCACAUUGGGACUGAGAUACGGCCCAGACUCCUACGGGAGGCAGCAGUGGGGAAUAUUGGGCAAUGGGCGAAAGCCUGACCCAGCAACGCCGCGUGAAGGAAGAAGGCCUUCGGGUUGUAAACUUCUUUACCAGGGACGAAGAACGUGACGGUACCUGGAGAAAAGCAACGGCUAACUACGUG